Felis catus (domestic cat) is the source of this 1117-nucleotide long non-coding RNA. RefSeq lists it as uncharacterized. NCBI's taxonomy places the organism in Eukaryota, Metazoa, Chordata, Mammalia, Carnivora, Felidae. The transcript has 2 exons. The record is from RefSeq and is a predicted model, not a curated record.
AUGCUUUGUCUCUCUCUGUCCAAAAAAAAAAAAAAAAAAAGAGAAGGACAGCCACAAAUGUCGGCCAUUGGCAGGGCCUGGUUUCUCCCCUUUGCUCAGCCGCAGUGCUACUGUGGUGGGGCCAGAGUCCUUGCUGGUCAGUAGCAGGCCACAACUGUGCUUGCUGUGUGGGCCCCAGCGGGGGAGGCUGUCUCUCUGUCCCUACUUCCAACUUUCCGGGCACUGCGUGGUGAUUAUAUUUGAAGGAAAACCCUGAGCUCGAGUUAUCCGUAGCUUGAGUCUACAGUGAAGAGGUUAGAAGUUGUAGAUGAAAUGGUGUGACAGAGCCCAGCAUGCACCUCUUACCAGCACUGCGGGGACAGGGAAUGGGGGGCUGGGUCAGAGAAGGGGACCUCCAGAUAAGGGGUGGGGUCUUGUGAGGGACCAAGACAUUAAGAUGGGGAGCCAGACUCCUGCGAGGUCCAGCCGCAUGGCCUUGGUCGACUUAAUUAAUCUCUUGGUGCUUCCAUUUUCGCAUCCGGAAAACUGGGAGAAUAAUGUUAACUCUAUAGGGUGGUCAUGAGGUUCAUAUGAGUUAAUGUACAUAGAACGCUUAGUGUCUGUCAUGUGUUAAGCUCUUAAAUGCAUUGGCUAUUGUUAAUAUCUUUCUUAUUGAGCCUUGUCUCCUGGCUAAAGCUGACGCUCAAGGAACAGGUGUCUCCUCCAAGCCGGGACAACCAAAUCCUGUCUCCUGGAAAUGGGAAGCCGGAAGCCUGGGAGUCACCGGGUCAGGAGACUCUCAGCCGUUCAGACAGCACGCAGUCCUUGUGGAAAGACAGUGGGGUAAGACCUCUGAGCCGCCCCACCGCCCACAGGCACAGAGCGUGAUGGGCCGAGGAUGGAACCGGUUAAUGUAACCUGAAAGGCGUGAAAUGCGGCUCCACAGAGCUGUCCUCUCUUGCCUUGGUGGCUUCUCAAGACACACAACUGCUGUUACGCUGGCAAAGCUGGCCCUCAGCCUCUUCACUCGUCUCCACCAGGGGUUGGACCAGGUGGUCUUAAAGUUUCAGUAACUCUCCUCAAAAUUUUGUCACCUCCCAUGGAAUGGCACCAGCAUCAAAGCCUGACAAAGCUCCAA